RNAcentral lists this ribosomal RNA (515 nucleotides) under uncultured bacterium. RNAcentral's name for it is "bacterial SSU rRNA". It matches the Rfam family "Bacterial small subunit ribosomal RNA", at positions 373 to 879 of the family's 1533-position model. The record is from RNAcentral.
GGGGGAAACCCUGACGCAGCAACGCCGCGUGGGUGAAGAAGGCCUUCGGGUCGUAAAGCCCUUUCGGACGGGACGAACGCUCCGCGGUGACAACCCGCGGAGCCUGACGGUACCGUAAGAAGAAGCACCGGCUAACUCCGUGCCAGCAGCCGCGGUAAUACGGAGGGUGCAAGCGUUGUUCGGAAUUACUGGGCGUAAAGCGCGUGUAGGCGGCCUUGCAAGCCAGACGUGAAAGCCCUCGGCUUAACCGGGGAAGUGCGUCUGGAACUGCUCGGCUCGAGUACGGGAGAGGGAGGCGGAAUUCCCAGUGUAGAGGUGAAAUUCGUAGAUAUUGGGAGGAACACCGGUGGCGAAAGCGGCCUCCUGGACCGAUACUGACGCUGAGACGCGAAAGCGUGGGGAGCAAACAGGAUUAGAUACCCUGGUAGUCCACGCUGUAAACGAUGGGCACUAGGUGUGGGGGGUAUCCACUCCUCCCGUGCCGCAGCUAACGCACUAAGUGCCCCGCCUGGGGA